GAUCCUCCACCGCCCGACACACCCGCGACCACCAUCACUCCCGCUCGCCGCCGCAGGCCACCUGCGGUCACCACCUCUAAGUGAGGUCAGGUCCCCAUCCUCCCUCUCGGUUGUCACAAAGAACAAAGGAAGGGCCCCGCCAGAGAUUUCCCCUUCUGCCCAUCGCCGUGUCUGCGCCAACUGCCGCCCCACCUCGCAGCGCCACCGACUCGCCACCAGAGAUCGUCGCAUCCCCACGAG
Molecule: long non-coding RNA, 240 nt
Filed under: Phoenix dactylifera (date palm)
Lineage: Eukaryota; Viridiplantae; Streptophyta; Magnoliopsida; Arecales; Arecaceae
Description: long non-coding RNA (PDAC_LNC015668)
Source: RNAcentral